Molecule: ribosomal RNA, 451 nt
Filed under: uncultured bacterium
Lineage: Bacteria
Description: bacterial SSU rRNA
Rfam family: Bacterial small subunit ribosomal RNA
Source: RNAcentral
GUGGGGAAUAUUGGACAAUGGGGGGAACCCUGAUCCAGCCAUGCCGCGUGUGUGAAGAAGGCCUUUUGGUUGUAAAGCACUUUAAGCGAGGAGGAGGCUACCGAGAUUAAUACUCUUGGAUAGUGGACGUUACUCGCAGAAUAAGCACCGGCUAACUCUGUGCCAGCAGCCGCGGUAAUACAGAGGGUGCGAGCGUUAAUCGGAUUUACUGGGCGUAAAGCGUGCGUAGGCGGCUUUUUAAGUCGGAUGUGAAAUCCCCGAGCUUAACUUGGGAAUUGCAUUCGAGACUGGGAAGCUAGAGUAUGGGAGAGGAUGGUAGAAUGCCAGGUGUAGCGGUGAAAUGCGUAGAGAUCUGGAGGAAUACCGAUGGCGAAGGCAGCCAUCUGGCCUAAUACUGACGCUGAGGUACGAAAGCAUGGGGAGCAAACAGGAUUAGAAACCCGUGUAGUCC